UCAACCGAGAUUCCGCAAGUAGUGGCGAGCGAACGCGGAAAAGCCUGUAUAUGAUAAUGGUUAGGAUAGAAGAAGGGAUUGGAAACUUCCGCCAUAGUGGGUGAUAGCCCCGUAUUUGAAAUCUUAACCAUGGUACUAAGUAUACGAGAAGUAGGGCGGGACACGUGAAAUCCUGUCUGAAUAUGGGGGGACCAUCCUCCAAGGCUAAAUACUCAUCAUCGACCGAUAGUGAACCAGUACCGUGAGGGAAAGGCGAAAAGAACCCCGGAAGGGGAGUGAAAUAGAACCUGAAACCUGAUGCAUACAUACAGUGGGAGCAUCUUUGUGGUGUGACUGCGUACCUUUUGUAUAAUGGGUCAACGACUUACAUUCAGUAGCGAGCUUAACCGAGUAGGGGAGGCGUAGGGAAACCGAGUCUUAAUAGGGCGACUAGUUGCUGGGUGUAGACCCGAAACCGAGUGAUCUAUCCAUGGCCAGGAUGAAGGUGCGGUAAAACGCAUUGGAGGUCCGAACCCACGCAUGUUGCAAAAUGCGGGGAUGAGCUGUGGAUAGGGGUGAAAGGCUAAACAAACUCGGAGAUAGCUGGUUCUCCCCGAAAACUAUUUAGGUAGUGCCUCGAGUAUGAGACUGAUGGGGGUAAAGCACUGUUAUGGCUAGGGGGUUAUUGCAACUUACCAACCCAUGGCAAACUAAGAAUACCAUCAAGUUGCUCCUCGGGAGACAGACAUCGGGUGCUAACGUCCGGUGUCAAGAGGGAAACAACCCAGACCGCCAGCUAAGGUCCCAAAUGAUAGAUUAAGUGGUAAACGAAGUGGGAAGGCACAGACAGCCAGGAUGUUGGCUUAGAAGCAGCCAUCAUUUAAAGAAAGCGUAAUAGCUCACUGGUCGAGUCUUUCUGCGCGGAAGAUGUAACGGGGCUAAAAUCUAUAACCGAAGCUGCGGAUAUACUUUUGUAUAUGGUAGGGGAGCGUUCUGUAAGCCUGUGAAGGUGACUUGUAAAGGUUGCUGGAGGUAUCAGAAGUGCGAAUGUUGACAUGAGUAGCGAUAAAGCGGGUGAAAAGCCCGCUCGCCGAAAGCCCAAGGUUUCCUACGCAACGUUCAUCGGCGUAGGGUGAGUCGGCCCCUAAGGCGAGGCAGAAAUGCGUAGUCGAUGGGAAACAGGUUAAUAUUCCUGUACUUUGAUUCAAUGCGAUGUGGGGACGGAGAAGGUUAGGUUAGCAAACUGUUGGAAUAGUUUGUUUAAGCCAGUAGGUGGAAAGAGUAGGCAAAUCCGCUCUUUCUUAACACCGAGACGUGAUGACGAGUGUCUACGGACAUGAAGUGACCAAUACCACGCUUCCAGGAAAAGCCACUAAGCUUCAGUUGAAUCAGAACCGUACCGCAAACCGACACAGGUGGGCAGGAUGAGAAUUCUAAGGCGCUUGAGGGAACUCGGGAGAAGGAACUCGGCAAAUUGAUACCGUAACUUCGGGAGAAGGUAUGCCCUCUAAUGUUAAGGACUUGCUCCGUAAGCAUCUGAGGGUCGCAGAGAAUCGGUGGCUGCGACUGUUUAUUAAAAACACAGCACUCUGCUAACACGAAAGUGGACGUAUAGGGUGUGACGCCUGCCCGGUGCUGGAAGGUUAAUUGAAGAUGUGCAAGCAUCGGAUCGAAGCCCCAGUAAACGGCGGCCGUAACUAUAACGGUCCUAAGGUAGCGAAAUUCCUUGUCGGGUAAGUUCCGACCCGCACGAAUGGCGUAACGAUGGCCACACUGUCUCCUCCCGAGACUCAGCGAAGUUGAAAUGGUUGUGAAGAUGCAAUCUCCCCGCUGCUAGACGGAAAGACCCCGUGAACCUUUACUGUAGCUUUGCAUUGGACUUUGAAGUCACUUGUGUAGGAUAGGUGGGAGGCUUUGAAGCAGAGACGCCAGUCUCUGUGGAGCCGUCCUUGAAAUACCACCCUGGUGACUUUGAGGUUCUAACCCAGACCCGUUAUCCGGGUCGGGGACCGUGCAUGGUAGGCAGUUUGACUGGGGCGGUCUCCUCCCAAAGAGUAACGGAGGAGUUCGAAGGUUACCUAGGUCCGGUCGGAAAUCGGACUGAUAGUGCAAUGGCAAAAGGUAGCUUAACUGCGAGACCGACAAGUCGAGCAGGUGCGAAAGCAGGACAUAGUGAUCCGGUGGUUCUGAAUGGAAGGGCCAUCGCUCAACGGAUAAAAGGUACUCCGGGGAUAACAGGCUGAUUCCGCCCAAGAGUCCAUAUCGACGGCGGAGUUUGGCACCUCGAUGUCGGCUCAUCACAUCCUGGGGCUGUAGUCGGUCCCAAGGGUAUGGCUGUUCGCCAUUUAAAGUGGUACGUGAGCUGGGUUUAAAACGUCGUGAGACAGUUUGGUCCCUAUCUGCAGUGGGCGUUGGAAGUUUGACGGGGGCUGCUCCUAGUACGAGAGGACCGGAGUGGACGAACCUCUGGUGUACCGGUUGUUUCGCCAGAAGCAUAGCCGGGUAGCUAAGUUCGGAAGAGAUAAGCGCUGAAAGCAUCUAAGCGCGAAACUCGCCCAAAGAUGAGACUUCCCUUGUGGUUUAACCAUACUAAAGAGUCGUUCGAGACCAGGACGUUGAUAGGUUGGGUGUGGAAGAGUGGUAACACUUGAAGCUAACCAAUACUAAUUGCUCGUGAGGCUUGACUCU
Molecule: ribosomal RNA, 2667 nt
Filed under: Kingella kingae
Lineage: Bacteria; Pseudomonadati; Pseudomonadota; Betaproteobacteria; Neisseriales; Neisseriaceae
Description: partial 23S ribosomal RNA
Rfam family: Bacterial large subunit ribosomal RNA
Source: RNAcentral